GGAGGGAGCUAGCUUUGUUCGGAAUUACUGGGCGUAAAGCGUACGUAGGCGGCUAUUCAAGUCAGAGGUGAAAGCCCGGGGCUCAACCCCGGAACUGCCUUUGAAACUAGAUAGCUAGAAUCUUGGAGAGGUCAGUGGAAUUCCGAGUGUAGAGGUGAAAUUCGUAGAUAUUCGGAAGAACACCAGUGGCGAAGGCGACUGACUGGACAAGUAUUGACGCUGAGGUACGAAAGCGUGGGGAGCAAACAGGAUUAGAUACCCUGGUAGUCCACGCCGUAAACGAUGAUAACUAGCUGUCCGGGCACUUGGUGCCUGGGUGGCGCAGCUAACGCAUUAAGUUAUCCGCCUGGGGAGUACGGUCGCAAGAUUA
RNAcentral lists this ribosomal RNA (370 nucleotides) under uncultured bacterium. RNAcentral describes it as "bacterial SSU rRNA". It matches the Rfam family "Bacterial small subunit ribosomal RNA", at positions 527 to 896 of the family's 1533-position model. The record is from RNAcentral.